This 497-nucleotide ribosomal RNA is filed under the name uncultured bacterium. Its description in RNAcentral is "partial 16S ribosomal RNA". It matches the Rfam family "Bacterial small subunit ribosomal RNA", at positions 28 to 507 of the family's 1533-position model. The record is from RNAcentral.
GAUGAACGCUGGCGGCGUGCCUAAUACAUGCAAGUCGAGCGAACAGACGAGGAGCUUGCCCCUCUGACGUUAGCGGCGGACGGGUGAGUAACACGUGGAUAACCUACCUAUAAGACUGGGAUAACUUCGGGAAACCGGAGCUAAUACCGGAUAAUAUAUUGAACCGCAUGGUUCAAUAGUGAAAGACGGUUUUGCUGUCACUUGUAGAUGGAUCCGCGCCGCAUUAGCUAGUUGGUAAGGUAACGGCUUACCAAGGCAACGAUGCGUAGCCGACCUGAGAGGGUGAUCGGCCACACUGGAACUGAGACACGGUCCAGACUCCUACGGGAGGCAGCAGUAGGGAAUCUUCCGCAAUGGGCGAAAGCCUGACGGAGCAACGCCGCGUGAGUGAUGAAGGUCUUCGGAUCGUAAAACUCUGUUAUUAGGGAAGAACAAAUGUGUAAGUAACUAUGCACGUCUUGACGGUACCUAAUCAGAAAGCCACGGCUAACUACGUG